GGGCCUGACCCCGAUGCUGCCAGGAGCCCCGUGGCCUGGGCCAGGCAUCCUCAGGGUGGCCGGGUGGUGACACAGCACGGGCACCGUGAAGGGGAUGCACGCUGCCUGAGGUGUCACAGGCUUGUUUUCACGUGGUAUGGCCAGCUCUGAACACCAUCCAAAAGCGCAUCCUCUGGCAGUACGUGCCGAUGCAGCUAUGAUCAAGUCAAGGUCACCCCCAGCCUGUCGCCGUGUCGCCUCGUCUCGAACCACAGGCUCCUGGGCUGCAGAGCAGGCACCCAAGGCUCAGGACAGCUUGAAUUACAUCGCUUGGGAAGUGCUGGGCACUACAACCUACCCUCCUCCUGCCGUGCUGCCGGACUUUUUCCAGCUCUGAGGAAGAGCAGAAGGCGGUGUCAUGAACAAGUAACAGGGAGUGUGUGUGGUUAUCGUUACUUACUGGUGGGAGAGUUGUGCCAGGGGUGCAUGCUGAGAAGAGGGCUCACCUGUGCGGGUGAGUAGAUGCCCCAAGGGGCUUCCAACAGCAGUGCAGCCAGGAGCCAAGGGAGGAGAGCACUGAAUCUGCCUGCGUCGUUCUGUAGGGAGGCUGUGGGGCUGAGAAAAGGCAACAGGCUCUCCUAGAAUACUACACUAUGCAAGAGGGGCAAAGGAGCCCCUCUUUUCCCCUGCAUCCUUGUUAAGGGAUUACAGAGAAGCCAUCAGCUCUUGGUGUUGCUAAUUGAGGUUGGAAAACUAUUCUGUUUUCCAUCAUGCACUAUCUGGAGCCUAACAGUGCUCCCAGAACUCAUAUUUUACUUUUUCUUUUCUCUCUCUUAAGCACAGCCUUGGAAACGUAUCAGGAGAAGACCACGAUUUAAUUUGCAGCAUUAGGAUAGACUCCUCCGGCAUUUCCCCAUCCUGGUCACACCCUCCUCCCAUGCUCAGACCUGCUCGAUGGGAUUUGCUGAGGAAGCAGGCUCUCCACGCCAGUGCAGUCGCACGGGGUCUGUUCCCUGUGUGGUCAAUUCUGAGAUUUCACAGCCUCUGUCAUGCAUGCUAAUAAAGUUCUCAGUAGUUGGCUUGGUCUAUCAACCACCACCACAAAAGACAGUUUGCUCUCCACAGCGGCAUUCAGUCCCCACCCUCCCACCGGACAGCCUUUUCGGACCCAUCUGGAAAUGACUGGCCAAAGCACAAUGUGACACAGACACUCACCCUGUGCCAGCAAGCUUUGUGCAGUGCCACAGGCUUGCAUUACUGUGACCCCUUGGUGUGUUCGUGUUGCCCAAGGAGCAAUGUCAGCUUCCUCCAGCCCGGGCUCUGCCAUGGUGGGAAGCUGCGGCAUGAAGCGCCAGGAGGAGGUAAAAAAGCAAGCCCUGAACCAUGAGCACUAGGCUACUUUGCCUGCUCCAAACUGUACGAAAAAAUGACAAGAGAUAUCAGAGAUAAAACCCUCACAGGGAGGAGAUAAAAUGUGUUUGCAUGUCAGCGAAAGCUCUCCAGCACCAAAUCACACCGCACACUUUGCAUAUCCACAUGAAAACACAUAAGGGAAGAAACUAACAGAAAUCUUUGGGUCACAGAGUUAAGUACUG
RNAcentral lists this long non-coding RNA (1574 nucleotides) under Cairina moschata (Muscovy duck). RNAcentral describes it as "domestica (muscovy Duck (domestic type)) lncRNA (ENSCMMG00000014511.1)". Lineage: Eukaryota; Metazoa; Chordata; Aves; Anseriformes; Anatidae. The record is from RNAcentral.